This 85-nucleotide transfer RNA is filed under the name Felis catus (domestic cat). It matches the Rfam family "tRNA". Rfam says of the family: Transfer RNA (tRNA) molecules are approximately 80 nucleotides in length. The record is from Rfam by way of RNAcentral. RNAcentral also lists the same sequence under 1 other name. Lineage: Eukaryota; Metazoa; Chordata; Mammalia; Carnivora; Felidae.
GCCUGGGUGGCUCAGUUGGUUAAGUGUCUGACUUCGGCUCAGGUCAUGAUCUCACAGCUUGUGGGUUUGAGCCCCGCAUCAGGCU